This 72-nucleotide transfer RNA is filed under the name Camelus bactrianus (Bactrian camel). It matches the Rfam family "tRNA". Rfam says of the family: Transfer RNA (tRNA) molecules are approximately 80 nucleotides in length. Their secondary structure includes four short double-helical elements and three loops (D, anti-codon, and T loops). The record is from Rfam by way of RNAcentral. Lineage: Eukaryota; Metazoa; Chordata; Mammalia; Artiodactyla; Camelidae. RNAcentral also lists the same sequence under 2 other names.
GAGGGUAGAGCUCAGUGGUGGAGCGCGUGCUUAGCAUGCACAAAGUCCUGGGUUCAGUCCCCAGUACCUCCA